GAUGAACGCUGGCGGCGUGCCUAAUACAUGCAAGUCGAGCGAACGGACGAGAAGCUUGCUUCUCUGAUGUUAGCGGCGGACGGGUGAGUAACACGUGGAUAACCUACCUAUAAGACUGGGAUAACUUCGGGAAACCGGAGUUAAUACCGGAUAAUAUUUUGAACCGCAUGGUUCAAAAGUGAAAGACGGUCUUGCUGUCACUUAUAGAUGGAUCCGCGCUGCAUUAGCUAGUUGGUAAGGUAACGGCUUACCAAGGCAACGAUGCAUAGCCGACCUGAGAGGGUGAUCGGCCACACUGGAACUGAGACACGGUCCAGACCCCUACGGGAGGCAGCAGUAGGGAAUCUUCCGCAAUGGGCGAAAGCCUGACGGAGCAACGCCGCGUGAGUGAUGAAGGUCUUCGGAUCGUAAAACUCUGUUAUUAGGGAAGAACAUAUGUGUAAGUAACUGUGCACAUCUUGACGGUACCUAAUCAGAAAGCCACGGCUAACUACGUG
Molecule: ribosomal RNA, 497 nt
Filed under: uncultured bacterium
Lineage: Bacteria
Description: partial 16S ribosomal RNA
Rfam family: Bacterial small subunit ribosomal RNA
Source: RNAcentral